UCAUUGGUGAUGUAGUGAUAGAAUGCUUGCCUUCUAUGUGGGAGACCCAGGUGCAAUUCCUGGCCAAUGCG
Molecule: transfer RNA, 71 nt
Filed under: Loxodonta africana (African savanna elephant)
Lineage: Eukaryota; Metazoa; Chordata; Mammalia; Proboscidea; Elephantidae
Rfam family: tRNA
About the family: Transfer RNA (tRNA) molecules are approximately 80 nucleotides in length. Their secondary structure includes four short double-helical elements and three loops (D, anti-codon, and T loops).
Source: Rfam by way of RNAcentral